CGCGGAAGCAGCGCGCAUGCUCCGCUGCCUUUUAUGAAUGGGGGCUGGAGGGGAGCGCGGAUGCGGCUCCCGGGGUUUUUUUUUUUUUCCCUUUUUUUUUUUUGAAUGAAGGGCAGCGGCAGCUGCGCAUGCACCGCGCCCCCCGCCCGGGGCUGGAGGCACUCAUCCGCUUCCAGCCGUUCUGCUCGCGGGAAGAUAAAUGGAGGGGAGGAAUCCUGGGCAUGGCUGCACGGGAGCGGGCUCGCAGCGCGCUGGGUGAUGCACAACAGCUUCUCCAGGCACGUUUCUCCCCCUCCCUCCACGGACCAUCAUUUUAUCCCUGUUUGGGAAUUUCCAUUACUGCUGGGGAAAGGGACUUCUCCUCCUGAGUGA
Molecule: long non-coding RNA, 372 nt
Filed under: Zonotrichia albicollis (white-throated sparrow)
Lineage: Eukaryota; Metazoa; Chordata; Aves; Passeriformes; Passerellidae
Description: lncRNA (ENSZALG00000014104.1)
Source: RNAcentral